Varroa destructor (honeybee mite) is the source of this 574-nucleotide long non-coding RNA. The record is from RefSeq and is a predicted model, not a curated record. NCBI's taxonomy places the organism in Eukaryota, Metazoa, Arthropoda, Arachnida, Mesostigmata, Varroidae.
UCUUUCUCGGCCUUCUCCAACAACAACGAUGCGCUGGUUAUCCGGGGACCAGGCAAGAUCUUUAAUGGUACCGAUAAAUGGCUACAACAACAACAGCAACAGUUAACAAAACGGUCAAGUCGAAGGAAUUGUCGCCGCAAAAGCAGAUCCAUCCACGUUUACGACUUCAGAAUAACGCGUCACAGGAACAAACAAUAGUUAACUUGAUACCGAAGAUGACUGGUUUACAUCCAAUUCGCUUGGACGCACUCGACGCUCGAGUCUUCGUCAAGCCGACGGACAUGUUCCACUAAUAGAACUAACGCGCAUAUCAAACGUUAGAGCCAGCUAUAACAUUAGCCAAAGGGAUUCAACUCAAGGCAAGGAAAAUUUCCCAAAAAAGAGUUACUGUCACUCAGAAAGGUGAAGUUCGAUUUAAAGGGCGCACUGGAAGCCAUCUUAGUAGCGAACAACGUGCAGAUUUGUGCCAGGUGAAGCUCUAUUAAAAGGGCGGACUACGCAAGAGUCGUCGUGUGCUUUUGUUCGACUUACUGUUCGAGUAGCUCAUGGCUCUGUUGUUGUGUGAUGAGACAAU